GACGAACGCUGGCGGCGUGCUUAACACAUGCAAGUCGAACGGAAAGGCCCUGCUUUUGUGGGGUGCUCGAGUGGCGAACGGGUGAGUAACACGUGAGUAACCUGCCCUUGACUUUGGGAUAACUUCAGGAAACUGGGGCUAAUACCGGAUAGGAGCUCCUGCUGCAUGGUGGGGGUUGGAAAGUUUCGGCGGUUGGGGAUGGACUCGCGGCUUAUCAGCUUGUUGGUGGGGUAGUGGCUUACCAAGGCUUUGACGGGUAGCCGGCCUGAGAGGGUGACCGGCCACAUUGGGACUGAGAUACGGCCCAGACUCCUACGGGAGGCAGCAGUGGGGAAUAUUGCACAAUGGGCGGAACCCUGAUGCAGCAACGCCGCGUGCGGGAUGACGGCCUUCGGGUUGUAAACCGCUUUCGACUGUGACGAAGCGUGAGUGACGGUAAUGGGUAAAGAAGCACCGGCUAACUACGUG
RNAcentral lists this ribosomal RNA (468 nucleotides) under uncultured bacterium. RNAcentral describes it as "partial 16S ribosomal RNA". It matches the Rfam family "Bacterial small subunit ribosomal RNA", at positions 28 to 507 of the family's 1533-position model. The record is from RNAcentral.